Molecule: ribosomal RNA, 510 nt
Filed under: uncultured bacterium
Lineage: Bacteria
Description: partial 16S ribosomal RNA
Rfam family: Bacterial small subunit ribosomal RNA
Source: RNAcentral
UAGGGAAUCUUGCGCAAUGGGCGAAAGCCUGACGCAGCCAUGCCGCGUGAAUGAUGAAGGUCUUAGGAUUGUAAAAUUCUUUCACCGGGGAAGAUAAUGACGGUACCCGGAGAAGAAGCCCCGGCUAACUUCGUGCCAGCAGCCGCGGUAAUACGAAGGGGGCUAGCGUUGCUCGGAAUUACUGGGCGUAAAGGGCGCGUAGGCGGAUGUUUAAGUCGGGGGUGAAAGCCCGGGGCUCAACCUCGGAAUUGCCUUCGAUACUGGACAUCUUGAGUACGGGAGAGGUGAGUGGAACUCCGAGUGUAGAGGUGAAAUUCGUAGAUAUUCGGAAGAACACCAGUGGUGAAGGCGACUCACUGGCCCGUUACUGACGCUGAGGCGCGAAAGCGUGGGGAGCAAACAGGAUUAGAUACCCUGGUAGUCCACGCCGUAAACGAUGAGUGCUAGUUGUCGGCAUGCAUGCAUGUCGGUGACGCAGCUAACGCAUUAAGCACUCCGCCUGGGGAGUAC